UGGGGAAUAUUGCGCAAUGGAGAAGAACUCUGACGCAGCAAUACCGCGUGAGCGAAGAAGGUUUUCGGAUCGUAAACUUCUAUCCUUGGUGAAGAUAAUGACGGUAGCCAAGAAGGAAGCCCCGGCUAACUACGUGCCAGCAGCCGCGGUAAUACGUAGGGGGCAAGCGUUGUCCGGAAUGAUUGGGCGUAAAGGGCGCGUAGGCGGCCUGGUAAGUCUGGAGUGAAAGUCCUGCUUUUAAGGUGGGAAUUGCUUUGGAUACUGCUGGGCUUGAGUGCAGGAGAGGUAAGUGGAAUUCCCGGUGUAGCGGUGAAAUGCGUAGAGAUCGGGAGGAACACCAGUGGCGAAGGCGACUUACUGGACUGUAACUGACGCUGAGGCGCGAAAGUGUGGGGAGCAAACA
This 403-nucleotide ribosomal RNA is filed under the name uncultured prokaryote. RNAcentral's name for it is "bacterial SSU rRNA". It matches the Rfam family "Bacterial small subunit ribosomal RNA", at positions 355 to 774 of the family's 1533-position model. The record is from RNAcentral.